CGCGUAGGUGGUUCUGUAUGUCUAUCGUGAAAGCGUACGGCUCAACCGUAUUUUGUCGCUAGAAACUGCAGGACUUGAGGCUGGGAGGGGCUGGUGGAAUUCCCUGUGUAGCGGUGAAAUGCGUAGAGAUGGGGGAGAACACUCGUGGCGAAGGCGGCCAGCUAGACCAGUUCUGCACUGAGGCGCGACAGCGUGGGGAGCAACA
This 205-nucleotide ribosomal RNA is filed under the name uncultured bacterium. RNAcentral's name for it is "partial 16S ribosomal RNA". It matches the Rfam family "Bacterial small subunit ribosomal RNA", at positions 568 to 773 of the family's 1533-position model. The record is from RNAcentral.